UAAUAACUUUAAUACCACAGCAAGUAAUCACAUAUGUGCAACACGACAAUUCAUUUCAUCAAAACACAACGUGUACAAUUACAAGUCCAUAAUCCAAACAACUAAACAGUCAAAGUCAACGCGCAUUUAAUGCGAAAGUGAAAGUCAGAAACUCGAGUUGUCACAUUAUCCCCAACUAAUUGGAAAUUUCGUCCCGAAAUUUGGUAUGCGUUUACUGAGGAAGCUAGGUGAGUCGUAUCGUUGACUGGUUUUUCCUGGGGUGUCACAUCCUCCCCCCGUUGAUCUGGAAUUUCGUCCCGAAAUUCCGAAGUAGUAGCUUCAGCCUCAGUAGUGGUUGCAUUGGUUUCAUAUAACUGGGGGUACUUUUCUGUCAUCCUGUCUUCGCGUUCCCAGGUGUACCCUGGGCCACGUUUGGAGUUCCAACGAACUCGAACAAGAGGGAUUCUCUUGUGGUUGAGGACCUUAACAUCCCGGUCCGUGAUUUCAACUGGUUCCUCGACGAACUGCAACCGCUCGUCGAUAGUGAGUUCCUUAAAAGGAACUAUAAGGGUCUCAUCUGAUAGGCAUUUCUUCAGAUUCGACACGUGAAAUACAUUGUGAACUGCACCGAGUUCAGGAGGUAGGUUUAAUCUGUAGGCUACUGGGCCUAUUCUUUCAGUGAUUUCGAACGGUCCAACAUACCGUGGAUUAAGUUUACCCCGUUUGCCAAAUCGUACUACACCCUUCCAGGGUGAAACUUUGAGUAGCACUCGAUCCCCAACUUGGAAUUCGGGCGGUUUCCUGCGUUUAUCAGCAUAGGCUUUCUGGCGAUCACGUGCUGUCGCCAUGUGUUGUCGUAUGAUUGAAAUCUUUUCUGUGGCGUCCACAACAAUAUCUGGACCCGUAAUUUGACUAUCUCCCACCUCUGCCCAACAGAGAGGUGACCGGCAUUUACGUCCGUACAAUGCCUCAAAUGGAGCGGCUUGAAUGCUGGUGUGGUAACUGUUAUUGUAUGAGAACUCCACCAAAGGGAGGUGCUUUUCCCAGCCGUUGCCGAAAUCGAUAACACACGCCCUAAGCAUGUCUUCAAGGGUUUGAAUCGUUCGCUCAGACUGCCCAUCCGUCUGAGGGUGAUAGGUUGUGCUCAUGUCUAGCCGUGAGCCAAAAGAUUUAUGCAUCGCUUGCCAUAGUUCCGACGUGAAUCGUACGUCGCGAUCCGAAAUAAUGGAUGUGGGCACUCCGUGCCUCGAACAAUUUCUUUAAGGGAGUGUGCAGACUUGGUGAGCCGAUCAACUAUGACCCAUAGUGUCAUUCCCACUCUGGGAUCUAGGUAGGCCAGUGACAAAAUCCAUGGAAAUUUGCUCCCGUUUCCAUUGUGGUAUCUUGGGCUGCUGAAGUAGACCUGAUGGUUUCUGGUACUCGGUUUUAACCCUUGCACAAGUUAAACACUUGCCGUCGUGAGUUGCGAUAAGAGCUUUCAUGUUUUGGCCACCAAUAAGUUGUACUGAUGUCGUGGUGCAUUUUAUCUGAUCCUGGAUGUACCGAAUAGCGAGACUUGUAAGCUUCAUCCAUUACAAGUUCGCGUAAACCGCCAUGAAGUGGGACCCAAAUACGGCCCGUUACAUGGUAGGCGCUGUCUUCUUUUUGUUCCGUGCAUUGCCUUGAGCCGCGUAGGGCUUCAGCUUUGACGUUUUCGGGUUUCAAUGCUUCUACCCGAGCAUUACGUAUCUGUGCUGGCAGGCUAGGCUGGAUCGUAAGCAGUAGCGCUCGCACGCGCUGAGGUAGAGUGUCCUUCCGACUGAGGGCGUCUGCCCCAACAUUGACCUUGUCUGGAUGGUACCUGAUGGCGCAUUCGUAGUCGCUAAGUAAUUCAACCCAUCUUCGUUGACGCAUGUUCAAAUCCUUCUGCUUAAGGAUAUGCUCGAGACUCCUGUGAUCGGUGUAAAUCGUGCACUUGGUACCGUACAGGUAGUGUCGCCAUAUCUUAAACGCGAAAACAACAGCUCCCAGCUCUAAAUCGUGCGUCGUAUAGUUCCGUUCAUGAACCUUGAGUUGCCGAGAAGCGUAGGCUAUCACUUUAUCACGUUGCAUCAACACACAUCCAAGACCCUGGAUGGAUGCAUCACAGUAUACCACGAAGUCAUCUGUGCCCUCUGGCAAUGAGAGAAUAGGUGCGCUGCAGAGCCUAUCCUUUAAGUACUGAAAAGCGGUUUCCUGAGAAUCUCCCCAACGGUAGGUGACACCUUCCUGUGUCAGCAUUGUAAGCGGCUGCGCGAUCUUGAAGAAGUCUUUGAUAAAUCACCUGUAGUAACCCGCCAAACCCAAGAAUUGGCGUAUCUCUGUUGGUGUACGCGGUGCUGGUCUGUUCCUGAUCGAAUCUAUCUUGGAUGGAUCGACAUGGAUCGCAUCCCUGUUCACUACAUGGCCUAAGGAGUGGACUUCACGUAUCCAGAAGUCGCAUUUAGAAAACUUGGCGUACGUUUGCUCCUUCCGAAAAGUUCCAAGAUAAGACGUAAGUGUUGCUCAUGUUCUUCCUGACUCUUGGAGUAGAUCAGAAUGUCGUUGAUGGAGACAAGGACAAUUUGUCCAGGUAGGGUUUGCACACCCUGUUCAUAAGGUCCAUAAAUACGGCAGGUGCGCUCAAUAAUAUCAAACCAUUCAUCAUAUCAAACAUGAAGUAUAGCAGUUAAAAUAAUUCAUAAAACC
This 2685-nucleotide long non-coding RNA is filed under the name Helianthus annuus (common sunflower). RNAcentral's name for it is "hypothetical non coding rna". Lineage: Eukaryota; Viridiplantae; Streptophyta; Magnoliopsida; Asterales; Asteraceae. The record is from RNAcentral.